RNAcentral lists this ribosomal RNA (427 nucleotides) under Marinobacterium sp. RNAcentral describes it as "bacterial SSU rRNA". It matches the Rfam family "Bacterial small subunit ribosomal RNA", at positions 30 to 457 of the family's 1533-position model. Lineage: Bacteria; Pseudomonadati; Pseudomonadota; Gammaproteobacteria; Oceanospirillales; Oceanospirillaceae. The record is from RNAcentral.
AUUGAACGCUGGCGGCAGGCCUAACACAUGCAAGUCGAGCGGUAGAGAGAAGCUUGCUUCUCUUGAGAGCGGCGGACGGGUGAGUAACGCGUAGGAAUCUACCUGGUAGUGGGGGACAACAUUCGGAAACGGAUGCUAAUACCGCAUACGCCCUACGGGGGAAAGGAGGGGCUCUUCGGACCUUUCGCUAUCAGAUGAGCCUGCGUAGGAUUAGCUAGUUGGUGGGGUAAAGGCCCACCAAGGCGAYGAUCCUUAGCUGGUCUGAGAGGAUGACCAGCCACACUGGGACUGAGACACGGCCCAGACUCCUACGGGAGGCAGCAGUGGGGAAUAUUGGACAAUGGGGGCAACCCUGAUCCAGCCAUGCCGCGUGUGUGAAGAAGGCCUUCGGGUUGUAAAGCACUUUCAGUGGUGAGGAAAGGGUAAC